RNAcentral lists this transfer RNA (71 nucleotides) under Pila virens. RNAcentral's name for it is "tRNA-Asp". Lineage: Eukaryota; Metazoa; Mollusca; Gastropoda; Architaenioglossa; Ampullariidae. The record is from RNAcentral.
AAAGAGUUAGUUAAUUAAUAAUAUUAGAUUGUCAGUCUAAAGUUACUAUUUUGAUUAUAUAGUACUUUUUA